AACAGAUAUCUCGGCUCUCGCAUCGAUGAAGAACGUAGCGAAAUGCGAUACUUGGUGUGAAUUGCAGAAUCCCGUGAACCAUCGAGUCUUUGAACGCAAGUUGCGCCCAAAGCCAUUAGGCCGAGGGCACGUCUGCCUGGGCGUCACACA
This 150-nucleotide ribosomal RNA is filed under the name Staphylea pinnata. RNAcentral describes it as "5.8S ribosomal RNA". It matches the Rfam family "5.8S ribosomal RNA". Rfam says of the family: 5.8S ribosomal RNA (5.8S rRNA) is a component of the large subunit of the eukaryotic ribosome. The record is from RNAcentral. Lineage: Eukaryota; Viridiplantae; Streptophyta; Magnoliopsida; Crossosomatales; Staphyleaceae.